This 490-nucleotide ribosomal RNA is filed under the name Lodderomyces parapsilosis. RNAcentral's name for it is "eukaryotic LSU rRNA". The stretch from base 150 to 303 matches the Rfam family "5.8S ribosomal RNA". The record is from RNAcentral. Lineage: Eukaryota; Fungi; Ascomycota; Pichiomycetes; Serinales; Debaryomycetaceae.
CAUUCGAUGAAGUGCUUACUGCAUUUUUUCUUACACAUGUGUUUUUCUUUUUUUGAAAACUUUGCUUUGGUAGGCCUUCUAUAUGGGGCCUGCCAGAGAUUAAACUCAACCAAAUUUUAUUUAAUGUCAACCGAUUAUUUAAUAGUCAAAACUUUCAACAACGGAUCUCUUGGUUCUCGCAUCGAUGAAGAACGCAGCGAAAUGCGAUAAGUAAUAUGAAUUGCAGAUAUUCGUGAAUCAUCGAAUCUUUGAACGCACAUUGCGCCCUUUGGUAUUCCAAAGGGCAUGCCUGUUUGAGCGUCAUUUCUCCCUCAAACCCUCGGGUUUGGUGUUGAGCGAUACGCUGGGUUUGCUUGAAAGAAAGGCGGAGUAUAAACUAAUGGAUAGGUUUUUUCCACUCAUUGGUACAAACUCCAAAACUUCUUCCAAAUUCGACCUCAAAUCAGGUAGGACUACCCGCUGAACUUAAGCAUAUCAAUAAGCGGAGGAA